AUUUGCCACAAAGUCUGAAUGUUUCAACUGACCUCAGCUGUGAAAGCUUAUCGGAGAGUUGCACCCUCCUAGGGUAGCUCCUUCAGACACAUCUCUGUUAAUGUUGGCAAAAGAAAUUAAGAGGAGCCCCUGUGACUUCCUGUUGCUGCUUGGUUUUCACAGACCCAUACAGAAGUCCUUGUGGUUUACUCAAGGUUACAAAUAAAUUAAACAAAACAGAAACUUGGAGGAAAGAGACUUCAGUGCUGAAAUACUUGGCUUUGUUUCUGACAAGUUAUUCUGGAUCAGAAAAGUCUGAAUCCUGAAGGAGAAAGACACACAGCUCUACUUAUCUCAUGAGAAAAUCUACAGUUAAAACUGUCCAAGUUUACAAAGGAAUCAGAAAUAAAGUGUCCACAGAGGAUGAGGAGGAGAGGCACAGACAGCAAAGAGACAAAGUAGUCAAUAGACUUUCCCUAACAGGUUAUUUCUGAAUCCUGGAACCAUGGAGGAGCCAUGAUUUCAGGUGGAGCAGCUGUGGAUUGAGAUGGAGGAUGCAUCCUGUGAAAGAAGUUGCAGAGUCAGACGGAGAGAGAUUGGCAGGCAUACCGUCAUGUGAAUGAGGUAAAUAUACCAGAUCUGUCGUGGCCAUGAUGGAGAUAUAAGGAUGACAUGGGCUUAGUCCCCUGGGAUCUUGUGGAGUACUCGGAACAGAAGGGGGAAGGGAGGAAAGGCAUAGAGUAGCAGUGCAUCCCAUGUGAUCAGGAAUGUAUCUGAUCUGUGUCCUAAGCCCGCUCUUGAGCAAAAUUGAGGGCAGUGGCCAUUCUCUGGUGUGGGAAAGAGAUGUGUGGUGGAGAAUCCCCAGUGGUUGAAGAUGUGCUGAAGGGCUAACGUAUCUAGUUCCCACUCAUGAUUGUGGGAGAAUCUCCUGCUUAAUGAGUCCAUGGUGAUGUUCUGGAUCCAGGAAGGUAUGCGGCUGAGAUGGUGAUGCCGUGUUGGAUACACCAGUUCCAUAAUUUCAGUGCCUCCAAACAUAGAGAAUGGGAACUCGCUCUACCUUGUCUGAUGAUGUAGAAUAUGCAGGCAAUAUUGUCCAUCAUGAUUCUAAUAGUGCAGUGUGCGAUCAGUGGGAGAAAGCAUCGGCAGGCAUUGUGGACUUCUCAUAGCUCUAGGAGGUUGAUGUGUAGGGCGGAUUCAGUUAAGGACCAUCUGCCCUGCACUGUAUGAGUGUGAAUGUGCACUCCCCAACUGAUUAAGGAGGCAUCAGUUAUUAGAAUCAUGGACGGCAUUGGUUGAAGGAAAGGGACCCCAACACAGAUGUUCUUGAACUGUGUCCACCAGAGUGAUGAGUUCUUGACCUUCAUAAGCAGGAUAGGAGCUUGGGAAGGCUAUGUCUGUGAGGCACAUAGACUGUACGUAGCCAAGCCCAGAGCCAAGCCUCAUGUGUAACCGUGCGUACUUCACCACGAACAUGACCAUUGCCAUGUGGUCGAGUAGCUUGUUACUCCGGGUUCUUUCAACCCAAAGCGCUUGGUAACUUUUACUCUGUGCGAGGUGGUGUCAGGAAAUAAAUCAGGGGAGACACGGCAGUCUGACCGAUAGAUGGCUGGCACAAA
Mauremys mutica (yellowpond turtle) is the source of this 1595-nucleotide long non-coding RNA. RefSeq lists it as uncharacterized. The record is from RefSeq and is a predicted model, not a curated record. The transcript has 4 exons. Lineage: Eukaryota; Metazoa; Chordata; Testudines; Geoemydidae.